RNAcentral lists this ribosomal RNA (2791 nucleotides) under Klebsiella pneumoniae. RNAcentral's name for it is "partial 23S ribosomal RNA". It matches the Rfam family "Bacterial large subunit ribosomal RNA". The record is from RNAcentral. Lineage: Bacteria; Pseudomonadati; Pseudomonadota; Gammaproteobacteria; Enterobacterales; Enterobacteriaceae.
GGUUAAGCGACUAAGCGUACACGGUGGAUGCCCUGGCAGUCAGAGGCGAUGAAGGACGUGCUAAUCUGCGAAAAGCGUCGGUAAGGUGAUAUGAACCGUUAUAACCGGCGAUGUCCGAAUGGGGAAACCCAGUGCAAUUCGUUGCACUAUCGUUAACUGAAUACAUAGGUUAACGAGGCGAACCGGGGGAACUGAAACAUCUAAGUACCCCGAGGAAAAGAAAUCAACCGAGAUUCCCCCAGUAGCGGCGAGCGAACGGGGAGCAGCCCAGAGUCUGAAUCAGCUUGUGUGUUAGUGGAACGGUCUGGAAAGUCCGACGGUACAGGGUGAUAGUCCCGUACACCAAAAUGCACAGGCUGUGAACUCGAAGAGUAGGGCGGGACACGUGGUAUCCUGUCUGAAUAUGGGGGGACCAUCCUCCAAGGCUAAAUACUCCUGACUGACCGAUAGUGAACCAGUACCGUGAGGGAAAGGCGAAAAGAACCCCGGCGAGGGGAGUGAAAAAGAACCUGAAACCGUGUACGUACAAGCAGUGGGAGCACCUUCGGGUGUGACUGCGUACCUUUUGUAUAAUGGGUCAGCGACUUAUAUUCUGUAGCAAGGUUAACCGUAUAGGGGAGCCGCAGGGAAACCGAGUCUUAACUGGGCGUUAAGUUGCAGGGUAUAGACCCGAAACCCGGUGAUCUAGCCAUGGGCAGGUUGAAGGUUGGGUAACACUAACUGGAGGACCGAACCGACUAAUGUUGAAAAAUUAGCGGAUGACUUGUGGCUGGGGGUGAAAGGCCAAUCAAACCGGGAGAUAGCUGGUUCUCCCCGAAAGCUAUUUAGGUAGCGCCUCGUGAACUCAUCUUCGGGGGUAGAGCACUGUUUCGGCUAGGGGGUCAUCCCGACUUACCAACCCGAUGCAAACUACGAAUACCGAAGAAUGUUAUCACGGGAGACACACGGCGGGUGCUAACGUCCGUCGUGAAGAGGGAAACAACCCAGACCGCCAGCUAAGGUCCCAAAGUCAUGGUUAAGUGGGAAACGAUGUGGGAAGGCACAGACAGCCAGGAUGUUGGCUUAGAAGCAGCCAUCAUUUAAAGAAAGCGUAAUAGCUCACUGGUCGAGUCGGCCUGCGCGGAAGAUGUAACGGGGCUAAACCAUGCACCGAAGCUGCGGCAGCGACACUAUGUGUUGUUGGGUAGGGGAGCGUUCUGUAAGCCUGCGAAGGUGUGCUGUGAGGCAUGCUGGAGGUAUCAGAAGUGCGAAUGCUGACAUAAGUAACGAUAAAGCGGGUGAAAAGCCCGCUCGCCGGAAGACCAAGGGUUCCUGUCCAACGUUAAUCGGGGCAGGGUGAGUCGACCCCUAAGGCGAGGCCGAAAGGCGUAGUCGAUGGGAAACAGGUUAAUAUUCCUGUACUUGGUGUUACUGCGAAGGGGGGACGGAGAAGGCUAUGUUAGCCGGGCGACGGUUGUCCCGGUUUAAGCAUGUAGGCUGGUUGUCCAGGCAAAUCCGGAUAAUCAAGGCUGAGGUGUGAUGACGAGGCACUACGGUGCUGAAGUAACAAAUGCCCUGCUUCCAGGAAAAGCCUCUAAGCAUCAGGUAACAUCAAAUCGUACCCCAAACCGACACAGGUGGUCAGGUAGAGAAUACCAAGGCGCUUGAGAGAACUCGGGUGAAGGAACUAGGCAAAAUGGUGCCGUAACUUCGGGAGAAGGCACGCUGGUGUGUAGGUGAAGCCCCUGCGGGUGGAGCUGAGACCAGUCGAAGAUACCAGCUGGCUGCAACUGUUUAUUAAAAACACAGCACUGUGCAAACACGAAAGUGGACGUAUACGGUGUGACGCCUGCCCGGUGCCGGAAGGUUAAUUGAUGGGGUUAUCCGUAAGGAGAAGCUCUUGAUCGAAGCCCCGGUAAACGGCGGCCGUAACUAUAACGGUCCUAAGGUAGCGAAAUUCCUUGUCGGGUAAGUUCCGACCUGCACGAAUGGCGUAAUGAUGGCCAGGCUGUCUCCACCCGAGACUCAGUGAAAUUGAACUCGCUGUGAAGAUGCAGUGUACCCGCGGCAAGACGGAAAGACCCCGUGAACCUUUACUAUAGCUUGACACUGAACAUUGAGCCUUGAUGUGUAGGAUAGGUGGGAGGCUUUGAAGCGUGGACGCCAGUCUGCGUGGAGCCAACCUUGAAAUACCACCCUUUAAUGUUUGAUGUUCUAACGUUGGCCCCUGACCGGGGUUGCGGACAGUGUCUGGUGGGUAGUUUGACUGGGGCGGUCUCCUCCCAAAGCGUAACGGAGGAGCACGAAGGUUAGCUAAUCCUGGUCGGACAUCAGGAGGUUAGUGCAAUGGCAUAAGCUAGCUUGACUGCGAGCGUGACGGCGCGAGCAGGUGCGAAAGCAGGUCAUAGUGAUCCGGUGGUUCUGAAUGGAAGGGCCAUCGCUCAACGGAUAAAAGGUACUCCGGGGAUAACAGGCUGAUACCGCCCAAGAGUUCAUAUCGACGGCGGUGUUUGGCACCUCGAUGUCGGCUCAUCACAUCCUGGGGCUGAAGUAGGUCCCAAGGGUAUGGCUGUUCGCCAUUUAAAGUGGUACGCGAGCUGGGUUUAGAACGUCGUGAGACAGUUCGGUCCCUAUCUGCCGUGGGCGCUGGAGAAUUGAGGGGGGCUGCUCCUAGUACGAGAGGACCGGAGUGGACGCAUCACUGGUGUUCGGGUUGUCAUGCCAAUGGCACUGCCCGGUAGCUAAAUGCGGAAGAGAUAAGUGCUGAAAGCAUCUAAGCACGAAACUUGCCCCGAGAUGAGUUCUCCCUGAG